UACGAAGGGGGCUAGCGUUGUUCGGAAUUACUGGGCGUAAAGGGCGCGUAGGCGGCCACCGCAAGUCGACUGUGAAAUCUCCGGGCUUAACCCGGAAAGGUCAGCCGAUACUGCGGGGCUAGAGUGCAGAAGGGGCAACUGGAAUUCUCGGUGUAGCGGUGAAAUGCGUAGAUAUCGAGAGGAACACCUGCGGCGAAGGCGGGUUGCUGGGCUGACACUGACGCUGAGGCGCGAAAGCCAGGGGAGCGAACGGG
Molecule: ribosomal RNA, 254 nt
Filed under: uncultured bacterium
Lineage: Bacteria
Description: partial 16S ribosomal RNA
Rfam family: Bacterial small subunit ribosomal RNA
Source: RNAcentral